This 432-nucleotide unclassified non-coding RNA is filed under the name uncultured Glomus. Its description in RNAcentral is "SSU rRNA". It matches the Rfam family "Eukaryotic small subunit ribosomal RNA", at positions 569 to 1004 of the family's 1831-position model. The record is from RNAcentral. Lineage: Eukaryota; Fungi; Glomeromycota; Glomeromycetes; Glomerales; Glomeraceae.
AGCAGCCGCGGUAAUUCCAGCUCCAAUAGCGUAUAUUAAAGUUGUUGCAGUUAAAAAGCUCGUAGUUGAAUUUCGGGAUCAAUUCGUCGGUCGUGCUUUUUGGUACGUACUGGCGUUAUUGGUUUCUCCUUUCUGACGAACCAUGAUGUCAUUAAUUUGGUGUUAUGGGGGGUUAGGACUGUUACUUUGAAAAAAUUAGAGUGUUUAAAGCAGGCAUUAGCUUGAAUACAUUAGCAUGGAAUAAUGAAAUAGGACGUUCGAACCUAUUUUGUUGGUUUCUAGGAUCAACGUAAUGAUUAAUAGGGAUAGUUGGGGGCAUUAGUAUUCAAUUGUCAGAGGUGAAAUUCUUGGAUUUAUUGAAGACUAACUACUGCGAAAGCAUUUGCCAAGGAUGGUUUCAUUAAUCAAGAACGAAAGUUAGGGGAUCGAAGA